RNAcentral lists this ribosomal RNA (217 nucleotides) under Stachys byzantina (woolly hedgenettle). RNAcentral describes it as "5.8S ribosomal RNA". The stretch from base 53 to 208 matches the Rfam family "5.8S ribosomal RNA". From Rfam's summary of the family: 5.8S ribosomal RNA (5.8S rRNA) is a component of the large subunit of the eukaryotic ribosome. It is transcribed by RNA polymerase I as part of the 45S precursor that also contains 18S and 28S rRNA. The record is from RNAcentral. Lineage: Eukaryota; Viridiplantae; Streptophyta; Magnoliopsida; Lamiales; Lamiaceae.
CCCGUCCGUCAUAGGGCGACGGGGAGCGGGCGUACUCUAUCUAAUGUCUAACGACUCUCGGCAACGGAUAUCUCGGCUCUCGCAUCGAUGAAGAACGUAGCGAAAUGCGAUACUUGGUGUGAAUUGCAGAAUCCCGUGAACCAUCGAGUCUUUGAACGCAAGUUGCGCCCGAAGCCAUUAGGCCGAGGGCACGCCUGCCUGGGCGUCACGCAUCGCU